CAAGGAUAUACAAUGAACCUCACAAAUUUGAAUAUUUUUCUCUUUUCAAUUCUUUUUCUUUUUUGCUUCCCAAAUGAUUCUCUGGCUUUUUAUAAUCUUGAAAGAGAUUUGAGAGUAUGUUCUGGCCAUUGGAGAGCUUGGAAUAGCCAUUAGACACAAAAACUAGCCAUUAAAAAAAGUAUAGAAAACUAGUCAUUAUUAUUGUCCCUAU
Molecule: long non-coding RNA, 211 nt
Filed under: Elaeis guineensis (African oil palm)
Lineage: Eukaryota; Viridiplantae; Streptophyta; Magnoliopsida; Arecales; Arecaceae
Description: long non-coding RNA (EGUI_LNC061236)
Source: RNAcentral